GACGAACGCUGGCGGCGUGCUUAACACAUGCAAGUCGAACGGAAAGGCCCUGCUUUUGUGGGGUGCUCGAGUGGCGAACGGGUGAGUAACACGUGAGUAACCUGCCCUUGACUUUGGGAUAACUUCAGGAAACUGGGGCUAAUACCGGAUAGGAGCUCCUGCUGCAUGGUGGGGGUUGGAAAGUUUCGGCGGUUGGGGAUGGACUCGCGGCUUAUCAGCUUGUUGGUGGGGUAGUGGCUUACCAAGGCUUUGACGGGUAGCCGGCCUGAGAGGGUGACCGGCCACAUUGGGACUGAGAUACGGCCCAGACUCCUACGGGAGGCAGCAGUGGGGAUUAUUGCACAAUGGGCGGAGGCCUGAUGCAGCAACGCCGCGUGCGGGAUGACGGCCUUCGGGUUGUAAACCGCUUUCGCCUGUGACGAAGCGUGAGUGACGGUAAUGGGUAAAGAAGCACCGGCUAACUACGUG
Molecule: ribosomal RNA, 468 nt
Filed under: uncultured bacterium
Lineage: Bacteria
Description: partial 16S ribosomal RNA
Rfam family: Bacterial small subunit ribosomal RNA
Source: RNAcentral